Molecule: ribosomal RNA, 213 nt
Filed under: uncultured prokaryote
Description: partial 16S ribosomal RNA
Rfam family: Bacterial small subunit ribosomal RNA
Source: RNAcentral
GACGGAAGGUGCAAGCGUUGCUCGGAAUCACUGGGCGUAAAGGGUGCGUAGGCGGCCUCUCAAGUCUGGCGUGAAAGCCCACGGCUCAACCGUGGAAGUGCCUUUGAUACUGCGUCCCUCGAGGGAGGUAGGGGCGUGCGGAACUUCCGGUGGAGCGGUGAAAUGCGUAGAUAUCGGAAGGAACACCGGUGGCGAAAGCGGCGCGCUGGACCU